AUGAUAAAAAAUAAAGAAUAUUGCCCCGUCCCCGCCUCGCUCCCGCGCGCAGAGUCCCCGUCUGCAUCCGGAGGGGGCACUGCGCUUCUAGGGACCCUCCGCUUUGGCAUGCACAGAAAUCGGCCAGAACGUGAAAAUGCGCAGGGCUUUUUCCCUUUCGAAAGGCAAUGUGGAAUCCGACAUGCCCACUUGGGACUGCUGACUUGGGAAAAAGAUCCAAAGGUGUUUUGGGCCCAAGCCCUCAGCUGUAGACCAGAGCUGCUCACAGGUGGCACUCAAGUGUGGACCUGCCACAUCGCUCCCCAAACCAGAGUCUCCUCCUUUGGGUUUUGGGGGGCCCCCGCUCCCCAGCCUCGUGGGGGAGCCCCUCCCUGGCAGUGGGGCCUCCCCCCAGGAAACGCCGAUGACCAGCCACCCUCCAGCUCGCCCUCGCCAGCCCUCCUGACCCACCGCUGGCAGGAGGCACCGCCAAUUCCAUUUGUUAAACAGUUUUUUUUUUUUUUAAGUGUAAAUGAUAAUAAUAAAAUUCCACGAGUCUUUCUUUUUUUUUCUCUUUUCUCUCCCCUCAGGAUAAAUUUUAUGCGGCUGGCAGUUAAAAUAAGCGAUUACCCCAUAAAUACCAUCUUAAUAGCCUCGUCAACGCUACGGCCUCCGCUGUCCUGAGAUUUUUAUCUCAGGAAAGGGGGAGGGAGGGAGAGAGAAAACCACAACCCUUUAGAGCGCUGCGGCGGCGGCUGCCGCCGCUCGUUACUCGCUGCGUAGCUGGGGGGGCGGAGGGCUCCCCCCUUCCCCCGGGGGCAGCCGCGGGGCCGCCCCCUCCCCCGGCGUGGCCGUUGGCGU
Molecule: long non-coding RNA, 840 nt
Organism: Apteryx haastii (Great spotted kiwi)
Lineage: Eukaryota; Metazoa; Chordata; Aves; Apterygiformes; Apterygidae
Source: Ensembl